UGCCACUAUUUGGACAACCCACCUAAACCAGCGAAUGGUUGCUUAUGACAGGAUGUGGCAUCUAUAAAUCAGAGCGUUAUGGCAGGCUGUUGGGUUUAGCUUUGCGUCAAAGGAGAAAAUGUGAGAUUACUGAUUUGUAUAUAAGAAAAGAUAGGAUAUUUUGAAUAUUCCAAGCAAAUAACAGUAACGAUCUAGCCGUUAUGUUGCCAAUUGUUGAUCCAUUAUACUCUUUUACACUGUUCACAAAUUACCAUGGUGUUGUAGGUGGAGGCAGAUGCUUACGUGGAAAAUGAAGCCAUAGUGACUAAAAUGAACCUGUUUUUUGAAGAAGCUUUCCAUUCCUCAUGUGAAGGAAUGAUGGUGAAGCGAGAUUAUGUAGAAGGUUUAAAUGAUUCCUUGGACUUGGUUCCUAUUGGUGCUUGGUCCUAUUGCGAAUGGGGAACAGCUGUUGGGUUUACCUUUACGUCAAAGACUAAAAU
This 479-nucleotide long non-coding RNA is filed under the name Helianthus annuus (common sunflower). Lineage: Eukaryota; Viridiplantae; Streptophyta; Magnoliopsida; Asterales; Asteraceae. The record is from RNAcentral.